UUCACACGAGGAUUUUUUAACAUUAAAUAUCAUAGCGUGUAUUUUUCCUGUCCACGUAUCUUUAAAUGAGCUGCAGUACUCGGGAUUCUUUGUGUGCUCUGUAAGGUGUGUGGGGCGUUACGAGAGCCGUUUGUGGGAUGCCGGCCUAAAUGCGGCGCUUCCGGCGCUGCAUGGUUACAUUUGUUGCUUUACCCGUGAGGCUCCUUGGAACUCGUUGCGUAACAAUGUAACUGCAGGCGGAGGCGGCUGGGAAGUCAGCACGGCCGUUACGUGCGGUUGUGCAGGCGCGCCAUCUUCCUGAGGAGCAGCGGCUCGAAGCCUUCUGUGAGCUGCCUUGUGAAAUCAAAGUUUCUCAUUGCUAUGUUCCUGACAGAAUCAUAGCAGAAAGGGAAAGAUAUCAGGAAAGGAUCGCCAUGUAUUGGAGUGUUGGCUCUUUGUCAAGGUUACCAUUACUUGGCCUUCUGAUACUUAGCUGCAAAAUGCCAUUCUGGAAUACAAGACGUAGACUUGGAAACAUGCGCUAGCCUCCUGGAAGAGCUGCAUCUAUUUCAAUAAAUGCAAUCUCUUG
This 568-nucleotide long non-coding RNA is filed under the name Gallus gallus (chicken). RNAcentral describes it as "long non-coding RNA NONGGAT001590". The record is from RNAcentral. Lineage: Eukaryota; Metazoa; Chordata; Aves; Galliformes; Phasianidae.